AGCGACAUCACUAGUGUAGUGUUUCAUCGUGCUCCCCAACAAUUAUGACAUAUGAACUUUGUGGGCCUAGUUCUGUUGUGCUUCUGUUGGCCCCACCCAUUCCAAGUUCUGUAGCAGACCGUCUGGGCCCCAUGCGAAACCUAGGCCUCACGGACUCACGGUCCACAAUGUGGCAGGCAGAUCGAGAGGCUAACUUCACAGAGCAGCUACAACUGCCCGCUUCCAACGGUAGAAGGAUAACAGGACUAUGCAAACCUGGCCCGCUUGGGCCCCAUGGCCUACUCCAAUGAACAAAUUUUUUA
RNAcentral lists this non-coding RNA (302 nucleotides) under Triticum dicoccoides. The record is from RNAcentral. Lineage: Eukaryota; Viridiplantae; Streptophyta; Magnoliopsida; Poales; Poaceae.